This 513-nucleotide long non-coding RNA is filed under the name Homo sapiens (human). Its description in RNAcentral is "HSALNT0281373". The record is from RNAcentral. Lineage: Eukaryota; Metazoa; Chordata; Mammalia; Primates; Hominidae.
GUGAAUCCAUGAGGAACAUCAUUCCCUUCCCAUGGCUUGAUGAGGAGCCAGACUAUAAUUGCAGAACCUUGAAUUCAGCCCGGCCCUGCAAUCUCAGCAUUCAUGGACACUGACUGCUAUGUUGAGAAGAGACUGACAUGGGAGAAGAGGCAGAAGGUAGAAGCGCAAUCAAGAGCAGGAUUGCAAGGUAAAAUUUGUAUUUGCUAAAUCUAAUCUAGCAACUCUAGUUAAGCGAUUAUUGCAAUAAUUGAGAUGAGGCAUGUUGGUGGCUUAUACCAAGAUUGUGGAAGGGAAGAUGGUGAAAAGUGUUCAGAUUCUGGAAACAUUUUUAUGUUAAAUACCACAUGAUCUCACUCAUAUGUGGAAUCUAAAAAAUUGAUCUCAGAGAAGUAGAAAGUAGAACAGUGGUUACCAAAGACCGGGGAGGAUAUGGGGAAGAGCGGAGGAGGAAACAUUGGUCAACAGGUACAAUGUUACACCUAUAUAAGAGGAAUAAGUUCUGACACUCCAUUG